Molecule: ribosomal RNA, 708 nt
Filed under: Streptomyces sp. 106-FB
Lineage: Bacteria; Bacillati; Actinomycetota; Actinomycetes; Kitasatosporales; Streptomycetaceae
Description: bacterial SSU rRNA
Rfam family: Bacterial small subunit ribosomal RNA
Source: RNAcentral
AAACGGGGUCUAAUACCGGAUAAUACUCUUCCCUGCAUGGGGGAGGGUUGAAAGCUCCGGCGGUGCAGGAUGAGCCCGCGGCCUAUCAGCUUGUUGGUGGGGUGAUGGCCUACCAAGGCGACGACGGGUAGCCGGCCUGAGAGGGCGACCGGCCACACUGGGACUGAGACACGGCCCAGACUCCUACGGGAGGCAGCAGUGGGGAAUAUUGCACAAUGGGCGAAAGCCUGAUGCAGCGACGCCGCGUGAGGGAUGACGGCCUUCGGGUUGUAAACCUCUUUCAGCAGGGAAGAAGCGAGAGUGACGGUACCUGCAGAAGAAGCGCCGGCUAACUACGUGCCAGCAGCCGCGGUAAUACGUAGGGCGCAAGCGUUGUCCGGAAUUAUUGGGCGUAAAGAGCUCGUAGGCGGCUUGUCACGUCGGUUGUGAAAGCCCGGGGCUUAACCCCGGGUCUGCAGUCGAUACGGGCAGGCUAGAGUGUGGUAGGGGAGAUCGGAAUUCCUGGUGUAGCGGUGAAAUGCGCAGAUAUCAGGAGGAACACCGGUGGCGAAGGCGGAUCUCUGGGCCAUUACUGACGCUGAGGAGCGAAAGCGUGGGGAGCGAACAGGAUUAGAUACCCUGGUAGUCCACGCCGUAAACGUUGGGAACUAGGUGUUGGCGACAUUCCACGUCGUCGGUGCCGCAGCUAACGCAUUAAGUUCCCCGCCU